Dunckerocampus dactyliophorus (ringed pipefish) is the source of this 516-nucleotide long non-coding RNA. RefSeq lists it as uncharacterized. The record is from RefSeq and is a predicted model, not a curated record. The transcript has 4 exons. NCBI's taxonomy places the organism in Eukaryota, Metazoa, Chordata, Actinopteri, Syngnathiformes, Syngnathidae.
GAGGUGAACACAAUGUGAUGGUAAGUCGUUACUGGAAUUACAACAGACAAGCAGUAGGAAAUAUGUAACCGAGGCUUGGAGAAACCACUUCUGUGACAGCUACCCAAGACGGCCUCUGCCCCACAGUUAGUGUUGAGGUAGAUGGAGGCGGCGCCGCAGCAGACGGAAGUGAGGUUGAAGCGCUAGCUUGACAACCAGGCUGUGACACUAACAGAUUCAUCUGUUCUAUGGAUCAUCAUUAUCAUUCAUAAGUGAUGGAGCCUGAUUGGCUGGCGACCAGUCCAGGGUGUACCAAGAUGGAGCCGCCUUCCAAGAACGCACCACCGCUGAGAAAAGUUUGUUUGGCUACGGAAGCAAUGGCUUCGACAGUCAUCUUAUUAUCAUUCAUUAGUGUGAACAAUGCCAAUUGAAGAGAGAAGGGGAGGGUUCCAGAGAUGAAGCUAAUCAACACUCACUCUUAUUGCUGAUGCUGAUCCAAAAGCGGAGGAGAAUGUCAAAAGGAGACAUUUUUGUGGG